This 274-nucleotide ribosomal RNA is filed under the name uncultured bacterium. Its description in RNAcentral is "partial 16S ribosomal RNA". It matches the Rfam family "Bacterial small subunit ribosomal RNA", at positions 523 to 796 of the family's 1533-position model. The record is from RNAcentral.
AUACGAAUGGUGCAAGCGUUGUUCGGAAUCACUGGGCAUAAAGCGCGCGUAGGCGGCGGCGUCAGUCAGUUGUGAAAUCCCUCGGCUCAACCGAGGAACUGCAACUGAUACUGCGUCGCUAGAGUGUGGGAGGGGAGAGUGGAAUUCCCGGUGUAGCGGUGAAAUGCGUAGAUAUCGGGAGGAAUACCGGUGGCGAAGGCGACUCUCUGGCCUGCUACUGACGCUGAGGUGCGAAAGCUAGGGGAGCGAACGGGAUUAGAAACCCCAGUAGUCC